CUACGAUAAUGGCAAACCUAUUGAAAAAUAGGGACGCAAAGCCUACGGACCUAAUGUAUAGAAUACGAUGGUAGCCGGGUUACCGAA
Molecule: non-coding RNA, 87 nt
Filed under: Gracilibacillus halophilus
Lineage: Bacteria; Bacillati; Bacillota; Bacilli; Caryophanales; Bacillaceae
Also listed under: 1 other name
Description: c-di-GMP sequence
Rfam family: c-di-GMP-I riboswitch aptamer
About the family: GEMM was predicted in a large-scale screen for bacterial structured RNA regulatory elements. Genes associated with GEMM are involved in a diverse array of functions, including chemotaxis regulation, signal transduction, secretion and chitin.
Source: RNAcentral